Molecule: unclassified non-coding RNA, 240 nt
Filed under: soil metagenome
Description: partial contains 5.8S ribosomal RNA, internal transcribed spacer 2, and large subunit ribosomal RNA
Source: RNAcentral
AACAUCGCGCACCUGCGGGAACCUGCGGAAGGAUCAUUAAUGAUUGGUGGCUGUUGCUGACUAGUGUUUCUAGUAUGUGCACGCCACACCUUCAAUCCCACUUACACCUGUGCACUUUCUGUAAUAGAUCUAUGUGGAUACGGAGAUGUGAAAGUUUGCGCUCUCCUACUCUGUUGAAGCAGUCUACUACGUUUUUUUACACACACACACACAAUAGUCAUUGAAUGUAUUUUUUAUUCU